RNAcentral lists this ribosomal RNA (465 nucleotides) under uncultured bacterium. RNAcentral's name for it is "partial 16S ribosomal RNA". It matches the Rfam family "Bacterial small subunit ribosomal RNA", at positions 28 to 507 of the family's 1533-position model. The record is from RNAcentral.
GACGAACGCUGGCGGCGUGCUUAACACAUGCAAGUCGAACGGAAAGGCCCUGCUUGCAGGGUACUCGAGUGGCGAACGGGUGAGUAACACGUGGGUGAUCUGCCCUGCACUUCGGGAUAAGCCUGGGAAACUGGGUCUAAUACCGGAUAGGAGCCAUUUUUAGUGUGAUGGUUGGAAAGUUUUUUCGGUGUAGGAUGAGCUCGCGGCCUAUCAGCUUGUUGGUGGGGUAAUGGCCUACCAAGGCGGCGACGGGUAGCCGGCCUGAGAGGGUGGACGGCCACAUUGGGACUGGGAAACGGCCCAGACUCCUACGGGAGGCAGCAGUGGGGAAUAUUGCACAAUGGGCGCAAGCCUGAUGCAGCGACGCCGCGUGGGGGAUGACGGCCUUCGGGUUGUAAACUCCUUUCGCUAGGGACGAAGCUUUUUGUGACGGUACCUAGAUAAGAAGCACCGGCUAACUACGUG